GCCGUCAUGGUGCCCUUGCAGGCCUAACACAUGCAAGUCGAACGAUGAACCUUAGCUUGCUAAGGGGAUUAGUGGCGAACGGGUGAGUAAUAUAUCGGAACGUACCUUGUAAUGGGGGAUAACUAGUCGAAAGAUUAGCUAAUACCGCAUACGCCCUGAGGGGGAAAGUAGGGGAUCUUCGGACCUUACGUUAUAAGAGCGGCCGAUAUCUGAUUAGCUAGUUGGUGGGGUAAUGGCCUACCAAGGCGACGAUCAGUAGCUGGUCUGAGAGGACGACCAGCCACACUGGAACUGAGACACGGUCCAGACUCCUACGGGAGGCAGCAGUGGGGAAUUUUGGACAAUGGGCGCAAGCCUGAUCCAGCCAUUCCGCGUGAGUGAAGAAGGCCUUCGGGUUGUAAAGCUCUUUCGCAAGGGAAGAAAACUUACAUUCUAAUAAAGUGUGAGGCUGACGGUACCUUGAUAAGAAGCACCGGCUAACUACGUGCCAGCAGCCGCGGUAAUACGUAGGGUGCGAGCGUUAAUCGGAAUUACUGGGCGUAAAGCGUGCGCAGGCGGUUUUGUAAGUCAGAUGUGAAAUCCCCGAGCUCAACUUGGGAACUGCGUUUGAAACUACAAGACUAGAAUAUGUCAGAGGGGGGUAGAAUUCCACGUGUAGCAGUGAAAUGCGUAGAGAUGUGGAGGAAUACCAAUGGCGAACGCAGCCCCCUGGAUAAUAUUGACGCUCAUGCACGAAAGCGUGGGGAGCAAACAGGAUUAGAUACCCUGUAGUCCACGCCCUAACGAUGUCUACUAGUUGUGUGAGUAAAUCCAUGAGUAACGCAGCUAACGCGUGAGUAGACGCUGGGAGUACGUCGCAGAUAAACUCAAAGAUGACGGGGCCGCACAGCGUGAUAUGUGAUAUCGAUGCACGCGAACUACUGCUGACAUGCACUACGAGCAGAUGCAUAAGUGCCGAAGGAUGACCAGUGCUGCAUGCCUGUCGUCAGCUCAGUUCUGAAUGUAGUAAGUCCGCACGAGCCACCUGCAUAUGCAUCAUAGUGGACUAAUGGACUGCGGUACAACGAGAGUGGAGACGUCA
This 1081-nucleotide ribosomal RNA is filed under the name Methylophilus methylotrophus. RNAcentral describes it as "bacterial SSU rRNA". It matches the Rfam family "Bacterial small subunit ribosomal RNA", at positions 22 to 1187 of the family's 1533-position model. The record is from RNAcentral. Lineage: Bacteria; Pseudomonadati; Pseudomonadota; Betaproteobacteria; Nitrosomonadales; Methylophilaceae.